UACGUAGGCAGCGCGCGUUGUUCGGAAUUACUGGGCGUAACGAGUGCGUCGGCGGUGCUCUAAGUCUGUCGUGAAAUCUCCCGGCUCCACUGGGAGGGGGCGGCGGAAACUGGAGUGCUAGAGUGUGGGAGAGGUAAGCGGAAUUCCUGGUGUAGCGGUGAAAUGCGUAGAUAUCAGGAGGAACACCUGCGGUGUAGACAGCUUACUGGACCACGACUGACGCUGAGGCACGAAAGCGUGGGUAGCAAACAGG
This 253-nucleotide ribosomal RNA is filed under the name uncultured bacterium. RNAcentral describes it as "partial 16S ribosomal RNA". It matches the Rfam family "Bacterial small subunit ribosomal RNA", at positions 524 to 776 of the family's 1533-position model. The record is from RNAcentral.